This is a non-coding RNA of Peromyscus maniculatus bairdii (prairie deer mouse), 645 nucleotides long. Lineage: Eukaryota; Metazoa; Chordata; Mammalia; Rodentia; Cricetidae. The record is from RefSeq and is a predicted model, not a curated record.
CAGUCGGGUGGAAUGCUGAGAAACGGCUUCUUAAGUGCAGCCUGGUCGUGGCCGGGCGCAGCGGGUUGAAAGGAAAGGGGACGCCCACUGCGGUGUUUUGUUCUGUUCAGGUUGGGCUGGGGCUUUGCAGGAAGGUUCGGGCGAGCCCGGCAGCGGGAAUGCUGCCCUCGCGUGGCCAGAAGUCCCACACGACCGCUGCCGUAGUCACCUCCCCCAGAGACGUGCGUAAGAAGCAGGCAGGGGGAGGCCAGGUCUGAUUUGUCAGCCCACAUAGGAUGGCAAGUGAAACCAACGUCAGAAAGGCUUUGAGAAGCUAAGUGCGUGCCCAGGGCUGGGCAGUACCCUUACCAGGAGACUUUCCGACUUCGGGGUCUCUGCAACCACCAUGGCCAGCAAAGUAAUGAUUUGUGGACUUCAAGAGGUAGUUUGCUUCAACAUGGCUAAGUAGCUGGUGUUGGUUCAAACUUUGGGAAUUUGACACUGAGUAGUUUAUUUGGGGCAUAUUUAAGCACAGCAAAAUUUGGUGAAAACUUUCCUGGUGACAAUUUACUUAAUCCCAUGUGCACAAUAAAGCUUACGACGUGACAACUUCGGAACUCUUUGUACAUGUGACAUCUUCCAAUAAAGAUGGCUUUUAGAGAUUGA